Molecule: ribosomal RNA, 392 nt
Filed under: uncultured bacterium
Lineage: Bacteria
Description: bacterial SSU rRNA
Rfam family: Bacterial small subunit ribosomal RNA
Source: RNAcentral
ACUCCUACGGGAGGCAGCAGUGGGGAAUAUUGCACAAUGGGGGAAACCCUGAUGCAGCCAUGCCGCGUGUGUGAAGAAGGCCUUGGGUUGUAAAGCACUUUCAGUAGGGAGGAAGGUAGUGUAGUUAACACCUGCAUUAUUUGUACGUUACCUACAGAAGAAGCACCGGCUAACUCCGUGCCAGCAGCCGCGGUAAUACGGAGGUGCGAGCGUUAAUCGGAAUUACUGGGCGUAAAGCGCAUGCAGGCGGCCUGUUAAGUCAGAUGUGAAAGCCCGGGGUCUUAACCUCGGAAUUGCAUUUGAAACUGGCAGGCUAGAGUCUUGUAGAGGGGUUAGAAUUUCGAGGUGUAGCGGUGAAAUGCGUAGAGAUCUGAAGGAAUACCAGUGGCGAA